AUUGAACGCUGGCGGCAUGCCUUACACAUGCAAGUCGAACGGUAACAGGUUAAGCUGACGAGUGGCGAACGGGUGAGUAAUGUAUCGGAACGUGCCCAGUUGUGGGGGAUAACUGCUCGAAAGAGCAGCUAAUACCGCAUACGACCUGAGGGUGAAAGCGGGGGAUCGCAAGACCUCGCGCAAUUGGAGCGGCCGAUAUCAGAUUAGGUAGUUGGUGGGGUAAAGGCUCACCAAGCCGACGAUCUGUAGCUGGUCUGAGAGGACGACCAGCCACACUGGGACUGAGACACGGCCCAGACUCCUACGGGAGGCAGCAGUGGGGAAUUUUGGACAAUGGGCGCAAGCCUGAUCCAGCCAUGCCGCGUGCGGGAAGAAGGCCUUCGGGUUGUAAACCGCUUUUGUCAGGGAAGAAACGCUCUGGGUUAAUACCCUGGGGUAAUGACGGUACCUGAAGAAUAAGCACCGGCUAACUACGUGCCAGCAGCCGCCUAA
RNAcentral lists this ribosomal RNA (492 nucleotides) under uncultured bacterium. Its description in RNAcentral is "partial 16S ribosomal RNA". It matches the Rfam family "Bacterial small subunit ribosomal RNA", at positions 30 to 522 of the family's 1533-position model. The record is from RNAcentral.